GAGAUAGAUUAUCAUGGAAUUAUGCAGUUAGCAUUUAAAGAUCCAAUCCCAGAUUCUUACUCUUGAUAUGAAUGUAGUAGGCCAAAAACUAGUACCACUGUCAAUGAUGGUUAUAUAAUGUUCGUUAAUUUAGGAACUGUCAGGGUUUUGAAUCCUACUACGUAUAUAUUUAUAUUAUUGCACUCUUCGAAAAUAUGCUUUGCACUAAUG
This 210-nucleotide unclassified non-coding RNA is filed under the name Hevea brasiliensis (rubber tree). Lineage: Eukaryota; Viridiplantae; Streptophyta; Magnoliopsida; Malpighiales; Euphorbiaceae. The record is from RNAcentral.